UACGGGGGGGGCAAGCGUUGUUCGGAAUUACUGAGCGUAAAGAGCUCGUAGGCGGUCUGUUGCGUCUGCUGUGAAAACCCGGGGCUUAACCCCUGGCUUGCAGUGGAUACGGACAGACUAGAGGUAGGUAGGGGAGAAUGGAAUUCCCGGUGUAGCGGUGAAAUGCGCAGAUAUCGGGAGGAACACCGGUGGCGAAGGCGGUUCUCUGGGCCUUACCUGACGCUGAGGAGCGAAAGCGUGGGGAGCGAACAGG
This 253-nucleotide ribosomal RNA is filed under the name uncultured bacterium. RNAcentral's name for it is "partial 16S ribosomal RNA". It matches the Rfam family "Bacterial small subunit ribosomal RNA", at positions 524 to 776 of the family's 1533-position model. The record is from RNAcentral.